Molecule: small nuclear RNA, 314 nt
Filed under: Neogale vison (American mink)
Lineage: Eukaryota; Metazoa; Chordata; Mammalia; Carnivora; Mustelidae
Description: Neovison vison (American mink) 7SK RNA (ENSNVIG00000003424.1)
Rfam family: 7SK RNA
About the family: 7SK was discovered as an abundant small nuclear RNA in the mid-70s but a possible function has only recently been suggested. Two independent studies have found that 7SK RNA binds the CDK9/cyclin T complex (known as elongation factor P-TEFb).
Source: Rfam by way of RNAcentral
GGAUGUGAGGGCGAUCUGGCUGCGACAUCUGUCACCCCAUUGAUCACCAGUGUUGAUUUCGGCUGAUCUGGCUGGCUGGGCGGGUGUCCCCUUCCUCCCUCACCGCUCCAUGUGCGUCCCUCCCGAAGCUGCGCGCUCGGUCGGAGAGGACGACCUUCCCCGAUAGAGGAGGGGACCAUUCUUCGGUCAAGGGUAUACGAGUAGCUGCGCUCCCCUGCUAGAACCUCCAAACAAGCUCUCAAGGAAAUAGGGUGUUUUAUUAGUAGAGAAAAAAAUGAAAGAAAUUUUGUUAUGCCAGUUUCCUGUAUUUUCAG